CAAUAGCAUAUAUUAACGUUGUUGCAGUUGAAAAGCUCGUAGUUGAACUUUUGGUAGGAGCGACCUGGCCUUGGGCGCAUGCCCUUGUUUGCCGUGUGUCGUGUCUGGCCAUCCUUUUCCGCUUCGGCAGGAAUCUUUUACUGUGAGUAAACUGGAGUGCUCAAAACAAGACGUUUGUUUGGUACAUUAAAGCAUGGAAUAAUAAGAUAGGACCUGGUUACUAUUUUGUUGGUUUGCAUAGCUAGGUAAUGAUUAACAGGGACAGUUGGGGGUAUUCGUAUUUAAUUGUCAGAGGUGAAAUUCUUGGAUUUAUGAAAGACGAACGACUGCGAAAGCAUUUACCAAGGAUGUUUUCAUUAA
This 360-nucleotide ribosomal RNA is filed under the name uncultured eukaryote. RNAcentral's name for it is "partial 18S ribosomal RNA". It matches the Rfam family "Eukaryotic small subunit ribosomal RNA", at positions 592 to 976 of the family's 1831-position model. The record is from RNAcentral.